GGUGGCUCAGUGGUAGAGCGCUUGCCUCGCAUGCAUGAGGCCCUGGGUUCAAUUCUCAGCACCA
Molecule: transfer RNA, 64 nt
Filed under: Dipodomys ordii (Ord's kangaroo rat)
Lineage: Eukaryota; Metazoa; Chordata; Mammalia; Rodentia; Heteromyidae
Rfam family: tRNA
About the family: Transfer RNA (tRNA) molecules are approximately 80 nucleotides in length. Their secondary structure includes four short double-helical elements and three loops (D, anti-codon, and T loops).
Source: Rfam by way of RNAcentral